Oreochromis aureus is the source of this 745-nucleotide long non-coding RNA. NCBI's taxonomy places the organism in Eukaryota, Metazoa, Chordata, Actinopteri, Cichliformes, Cichlidae. The record is from Ensembl.
AAACUGUGUGUAUCCGAGGAGGCUUAAACUGCGGGUUAAAGAGAGAGGUUCUUACCGCUGACGAGGAGUAGCAGCAGCAGCAUCUUCAUCCUCCUUUAAAGACCCGUGAAAUUCCCACGGAGCCGCUCCCACACACUGCUCCUCCUCCAGCUGUGACUCUGACCGCAGAAAUAACACUCACAGCAGUGACUGAAGAACAUCCAGAUUCUGCUGCAUCUGUGGGAGCCUGCAGAGAUCUCACACUGUGAGUGAGGACAUCCAGCCAGCAUGGAGCUCAUCAGAGACGAUACUUGUUACCAAGACAUUGUAAGCUCCAUCUCAGAAGCUUCAUCCACCUCAAACAAAAGGAACAACACUUGGUGAGGACAACAGCGACAGACUGAAGCACAGAGAUAUCGGACUGAAGCUCUGCUUUGUGCUGCUUUCUGAUAACUCCACAUACAGAUGCUGCCUAACAGCCUGAAGGGGAGGACGCUGCUUCCGUCCUUUAUUUACAGGCUGUUCAGUGCUGUGAGCAGAACACUAGAGCCCUCUGCUGGUGGAAGAGUAAGGUUGCAGGUUUAGUUAAAUGUGUUUGAAAGCAGCAGUGGUUUCAAAGAUUAAAGUUUUAUUGCCCCAUGUUCAUUCACUCAUGAGCUGCUACAACAUGAAUGAAAUGGCUAAAUUGCCAGCUCAGCACUUCUAUAGAGUCUUGCCAAUGACCGACUAAUCGUAUUCAGGUGUGCAACAGGGACACAUGGAAAAG